AGAAAUGGCAGCAGCCAGAACUCGCCAUCUUAUCCAGCACGUUAUGGGUACACUCUGGCGGCUCCUACUCCUGCGUCCUACCACCACCCUGUCCUGACUGCGUCUACUAGGGAGUUGGGAGCCUUUGGCGGCUUCUGCCACUGCAUCCUGCCGCCACCAUGUCCCGACUACGUCCACUAGGGAGUUGGCAGCCUUAGUGAUGAUGCCAGCAGGCUGACAGCCGACAGAAAGAUUCAGGUUGCCUCGGAAUUUUACCCAAGCCAUGCCGCACACUUGGGCCAGGCCUCUUGCGAACGACGUAUAACCAGGCUCAACGCAUCAGUGUCGAGUGAGUCCGGAGAUCAAGGCAACCUGCUGUGCAACCAGCGUGCAACCUUUGGUGACCCCUCUAAUGUUCUACCUAUUUCAGAGCUGUGCCUCACCUACCAUCUAUCCAAACAGCAUCACCAUCUGUGAUCACUUAUCGAACCAUGGAUGAAUGUUGGGGUGGAGUGAUUUGAACAGACAUUCAAUUUGUCUCUUCAAAUUCUUUGCAAAUACUUCUGCUAUUAUAAU
RNAcentral lists this long non-coding RNA (555 nucleotides) under Dermacentor andersoni. RNAcentral's name for it is "uncharacterized LOC126519298". Lineage: Eukaryota; Metazoa; Arthropoda; Arachnida; Ixodida; Ixodidae. The record is from RNAcentral.